GACCAGGGUGCCGUUUCACGAAAGCCUCUUAGCGCUACGACCUCCUAAACCACGUCGUAAAGCACCUCUUAAAUAUUUGUGCCGUUUCACAAAGACCUCCUAAUUUUACACCCCACCGUAAACAACCUCCUAACCUACGAUAGGUAUGGGGCACUUGUAACUAGCUUACGACAUCCUAAGUCAGCGUCUAAUAUGGCGACACUAUUGAGAAUUAAAGAAAUUUUGAACAGGAGAAACAUUAGGCGAGAGCGAAUAUUCAGGGAUAGGACUGAAGUGUUGGAUACUUUGACCGACACGGAACUGAUUGCCAGGUAUCGCUUUCCUCGACACACCAUCCUACAGCUGGUUGAUCGGGUCAGCGCGGAUAUCUCUCGGCCGACCCAACGUUCGUGUGCCUUACCUGUCCAUGUGCAGGUGUUAGUAACGCUUAGAUACUUUUCAAAAGGGGGAUUCCUGAGCGAAUUAGGAGAUAUACAUGGUAUUGCCAAAUCAAGUGUUUGUCGCGUGUUGGAAAAGACGACAGAUGCAAUCGUAAAGUCGUAUGACUUGAUCCGGUUUCCAACGCCCGACAAACACGCUAAACUAGCGGAGGAUUUCUUCCACAUCUGUGGUUUUCCGAAAGUUGUUGGCUGCAUAGAUUGUACUUUGAUACCCAUUCAACGACCAGCAUUAGAUGAAGCAGUAUAUGUGUGCAGAAAAGGAUUCCACGCCAUCAAUGUGCAAGCUGUGUGCGACGCCCAACUCCGAUUCACAAACAUUAUUGUCCAAUGGCCAGGAUCAACCCAUGAUUCACAUAUUUUCAACAACUGCAAUUUGAAAAGGCAUCUGGAGGAAGGGAAAUAUGACAUCUGGCUUCUUGGUGAUUCAGGGUAUGCCUGUAGACCCUACCUCCUGACACCUGUCAACAACCCUGCAAAUGAAAAAGAGGAGAAAUACAACCGCUGUCAUAUUGGAACAAGGAACUCAGUUGAGAGGGCAUUUGGAUUGUGCAAAUCUAGAUUCAGGUGUCUACACAAAACGACAGGAUGCCUGUUAUUCAGCCCACAGAAGAGCAUCAAAAUUAUUACUGCCUGCUUUCAACUUCAUAAUUUGGCAAUAUUACUGAGGUUGCCUGAGCCUGAUGUUCUUUGUGAGAAUCCUGGACCAGAGGUGGACAGCAGUCCUGCUGAUAACCACAACAUGGAUGGAUGUAGAGUCAGGGGAAAUCUUAUCAACUCUAGGUUUUAAAUGAGGGCCAGGCUCUGUCUUUGGAUGUCACGGAUGUCCCGCUGCACAGACAGAAUUUCCUCAAGGAGAGACAUCUUUCUCUCCUCCUGGGCUUUUGCAGUUAGGUCAUCUGGGGGUGGUCCACCACCAGUCCUCCUAGCAUUCAGCCUCCUGGCUGACUCUGCCUUCUUCACACAUCCCUUCAUGUCCGUCCAUUUCUUACGUACUUCAUCCUCAUUCCGGGUUAUGUCACCAGUGGCAUUUAGUCUGAUAUUCAAAAUUAUUAUUAUUUUAUAUUAUUAUGAUUAGUAAUGGUCUCAUUUGUGAAAAUUAUUUGAAAUUGGUAUCUUUAUUUAAAAAUAUGACUGUACUGUGUAAAAUUCGUGUAAGAUGUUACUUUAUUUGUUCAUCAUGAAAAAACUGACAAGAUUGAUGAUGUGGUUUUGAGGAACAAUCACUCACCCACUCUCCUGUUCUUUCAUAUUUGAUCAUUAUGCAAUAAUCAUUAACAGUGAGAGGUUAAUAAAAUUUUGAAGUGAA
Molecule: unclassified non-coding RNA, 1746 nt
Filed under: Haliotis rufescens (red abalone)
Lineage: Eukaryota; Metazoa; Mollusca; Gastropoda; Lepetellida; Haliotidae
Description: putative nuclease HARBI1, transcript variant X1
Source: RNAcentral